RNAcentral lists this ribosomal RNA (433 nucleotides) under uncultured bacterium. RNAcentral describes it as "partial 16S ribosomal RNA". It matches the Rfam family "Bacterial small subunit ribosomal RNA", at positions 29 to 507 of the family's 1533-position model. The record is from RNAcentral.
AACGAACGCUGGCGGCAUGCCUAACACAUGCAAGUCGAACGAGACCUUCGGGUCUAGUGGCGCACGGGUGCGUAACGCGUGGGAACCUGCCCUUAGGUUCGGAAUAACUCCCCGAAAGGGGUGCUAAUACCGGUUAAUGUCUUCGGACCAAAGAUUUAUCGCCUUUGGAUGGGCACGCGUUGGAUUAGCUAGUUGGUAGUGUAAAAGCCUACCACGGCGACGAUCCAUAGCUGGUCUGAGAGGAUGAUCAGCCACACUGGGACUGAGACACAGCCCAUACUCCUACGUGAGGCAGCAAGGGGUAAUAUUGGACAAUGGGCGAAAGCCGUAUCCAUCAAUGCCGCGUGAGUGAUGAAUGCCGUAGGGUUGUAUAGCGCUUUUACCCGGGAUGAUAAUGACAGUACCGGGAGAAUAAGCUCCGGCUAGCUCCGUG